This 338-nucleotide unclassified non-coding RNA is filed under the name Euphorbia bourgaeana. RNAcentral describes it as "partial external transcribed spacer". Lineage: Eukaryota; Viridiplantae; Streptophyta; Magnoliopsida; Malpighiales; Euphorbiaceae. The record is from RNAcentral.
AUCGAACUGUUUGCCCGGCGGUCGCUCAGUCGCGGCCCGUAGGAAUUUUUCCCGGCGGGCGAGGAUGGGUUCCUGUGUUGCAUACCCGCGUAGCGGAAUUCUUUACUGUUGCCGAACAUCGACUUCUUCCCGUGCCUCCCGUAGGCACGUGAUGAACCGCGCAGUGCGUCCCGUGUCCCUCGCAUGUCGAAUCGUCUGCGUUGGCCCGCGGGACCGCGCUCGUGCUCUCGGAUGCGGAAGACCGUGCGAGCAGAGGGAUUAAGUUUCCUCGUUGAGCUCGUAGUCCCUCGAAGCAAAUACGACCGGCCCGCCCGUGUCGCAUCCUCGGGGGGUCCCCC